Trichoplusia ni (cabbage looper) is the source of this 971-nucleotide long non-coding RNA. RefSeq lists it as uncharacterized. The transcript has 4 exons. Lineage: Eukaryota; Metazoa; Arthropoda; Insecta; Lepidoptera; Noctuidae. The record is from RefSeq and is a predicted model, not a curated record.
CUCAAACUACAUUUUUUUUUUAAUAAAAUAUGAAAAAAAAACUAGAACAAAUUCAGAGACCUCCAGAAAAACAAAUCUUCAAUAGAACUUGGUUAUAUAAAAUCCUCUCACAGGAGUAUUAGCUCAAGCUGGUGCGGCGUGAGCUCAAAGAGCCAACAAUACCACCAACUCUAAGAGUCCGACUGUCGCCAUAGUGAAAACGAGACAGCGCUCUACAUGAUCUAGAGCAGCCUCUCUUUCCCAUAACUGCAAUAUUAUUACUUCAAGAGAUGGUAGGCACUCUAGCUGAAAUGCUCGGUUCUCGGCUCUCGAUGUUCGGCCUUCAUCCUCUUUCAUGAGAUUUAUUGCCCGGAUCAGAGACUUCUCAAUAAGCUGAAUCAAUUUAUUUGUCCCGGAGUAUACAGUGACGUCACAAUGUGUUGCGGCGAUACAAGUGUGAUGUUACAUAAUGAGGGCCGGUGGAGUGUCACUUUAGCUUUCAUCUAAACCGCGGUGAGGACACGGCCUGAAAUAUGAGACCUUUUCAAAGAUCCCGAAACAAAUUACUAGGAUUUCGUCUAUUCACGCUACUUCAUCCCGUUUAGGAAUGUCUAAAAUUCAGCUAAACGAGUGCGUUGCGCCGUGGAACCUGACCCCGGUAACCCAAUUACUGAGAAAACCGAUGUCUCAAGGUUUGCCACCGUUGUCAAACUUUUAAGGACUUUAUACAAGAAUAGACAAUAAGAAAAUACGGGAAGAAAUUUGUAUAUUGCAUAGAUUUUAUUGAAAAUUCCUGAUAUUUGGAACAAAGAAAUUCAUAUAAAGAAGAGAUCAAAAACAGCAACAUUUUGUCUGGGCAGAGAAUGAUAUUAAACAAUAGAAAUAUACAUACUAUUGAUGUAUCGAGAGUUGCGAAAAACUAGUUGACUAAUAGCAGAGAAGUUAAAAGGGUCAUCUGGAAGAGAUUUCUUAAGAAAUAAGCAGUACCUUUG